GACGAACGCUGGCGGCGUGCCUAAUACAUGCAAGUCGAACGGAAAGGCCCUGCUCUUGUGGGGCGCUCGAGUGGCGAACGGGUGAGUAACACGUGAGUAACCUGUCCCUGACUUUGGGAUAACUUCAGGAAACUGGGGCUAAUACCGGGUAGGAGCUCCUGAUGCAUGGUGGGGGUUGGAAAGAUUCGGCGGUUGGGGAUGGACUCGCGGCUUAUCAGCUUGUUGGUGGGGUUGUGGCUUACCAAGGCUUUGACGGGUAGCCGGCCUGAGAGGGUGACCGGCCACAUUGGGACUGAGAUACGGCCGAGACUCCUACGGGAGGCAGCAGUGGGGAAUAUUGCACGAUGGGCGGAAGCCUGAUGCAGCAACGCCGCGUGCGGGAUGACGGCCUUCGGGUUGUAAACCGCUUUCGCCUGUGACGAAGCGUGAGUGACGGUAAUGGGUAAAGAAGCACCGGCUAACUACGUG
This 468-nucleotide ribosomal RNA is filed under the name uncultured bacterium. RNAcentral describes it as "partial 16S ribosomal RNA". It matches the Rfam family "Bacterial small subunit ribosomal RNA", at positions 28 to 507 of the family's 1533-position model. The record is from RNAcentral.